GACAGAGGGUGCAAACGUUGUUCGGAUUUACUGGGCGUAAAGCGCGUGUAGGCGGCUUGGCAAGUCGGAUGUGAAAGCCCACGGCUCAACCGUGGAAGCGCAUCCGAAACUGCUUCGCUCGAGUCUCGGAGAGGAAGGUGGAAUGCUUGGUGUAGAGGUGAAAUUCGUAGAUAUCAAGCGGAACACCGGUGGCGAAGGCGGCCUUCUGGACGAGGACUGACGCUGAGACGCGAAAGCGUGGGGAGCAAACAGG
RNAcentral lists this ribosomal RNA (253 nucleotides) under uncultured bacterium. RNAcentral's name for it is "partial 16S ribosomal RNA". It matches the Rfam family "Bacterial small subunit ribosomal RNA", at positions 524 to 776 of the family's 1533-position model. The record is from RNAcentral.